Molecule: ribosomal RNA, 1050 nt
Filed under: Microbacterium sp. RS-CIW-44
Lineage: Bacteria; Bacillati; Actinomycetota; Actinomycetes; Micrococcales; Microbacteriaceae
Description: bacterial SSU rRNA
Rfam family: Bacterial small subunit ribosomal RNA
Source: RNAcentral
GGAUAAGCGCUGGAAACGGCGUCUAAUACUGGAUAUGAGCUCUCAUCGCAUGGUGGGGGUUGGAAAGAUUUUUCGGUCUGGGAUGGGCUCGCGGCCUAUCAGCUUGUUGGUGAGGUAAUGGCUCACCAAGGCGUCGACGGGUAGCCGGCCUGAGAGGGUGACCGGCCACACUGGGACUGAGACACGGCCCAGACUCCUACGGGAGGCAGCAGUGGGGAAUAUUGCACAAUGGGCGGAAGCCUGAUGCAGCAACGCCGCGUGAGGGAUGACGGCCUUCGGGUUGUAAACCUCUUUUAGCAGGGAAGAAGCGAGAGUGACGGUACCUGCAGAAAAAGCGCCGGCUAACUACGUGCCAGCAGCCGCGGUAAUACGUAGGGCGCAAGCGUUAUCCGGAAUUAUUGGGCGUAAAGAGCUCGUAGGCGGUUUGUCGCGUCUGCUGUGAAAUCCCGAGGCUCAACCUCGGGCCUGCAGUGGGUACGGGCAGACUAGAGUGCGGUAGGGGAGAUUGGAAUUCCUGGUGUAGCGGUGGAAUGCGCAGAUAUCAGGAGGAACACCGAUGGCGAAGGCAGAUCUCUGGGCCGUAACUGACGCUGAGGAGCGAAAGGGUGGGGAGCAAACAGGCUUAGAUACCCUGGUAGUCCACCCCGUAAACGUUGGGAACUAGUUGUGGGGACCAUUCCACGGUUUCCGUGACGCAGCUAACGCAUUAAGUUCCCCGCCUGGGGAGUACGGCCGCAAGGCUAAAACUCAAAGGAAUUGACGGGGACCCGCACAAGCGGCGGAGCAUGCGGAUUAAUUCGAUGCAACGCGAAGAACCUUACCAAGGCUUGACAUACACCAGAACACCGUAGAAAUACGGGACUCUUUGGACACUGGUGAACAGGUGGUGCAUGGUUGUCGUCAGCUCGUGUCGUGAGAUGUUGGGUUAAGUCCCGCAACGAGCGCAACCCUCGUUCUAUGUUGCCAGCACGUAAUGGUGGGAACUCAUGGGAUACUGCCGGGGUCACUCCGAAGAAAGGGGGGGAUGACGUCAAAUCAUCAUGGCCCCUU